CACACAUUCACAGGUGCUUCCUGUUUUUUCAAACACCUUGCCCACCUUCUGCACACCAAGCGUGGAUUCUGCAAAAUGUAAGCCCAACAGGAAGCUGCCUGCAAUUUCAGGUAGCUUUUCUGACUCUUGAAAAGAUCUUGAGUAUACUUUCAGAGAAAUGCCAGCAAAAACUGUAGUCAUUUGGGAAGGAACAAUUCUGGAAGAAAGAGAUACAGCGAACUAGCACAAAGAGGUUUGAAAGGUUCGUGACAGCUCACAGCUCAUGAUGGUGGCAAUCUUGAGGAUACAGAAAACUCAUUCCUCAUGCAGGGAAGAAGAAAAUAUUCUAAAGAAGUGAUAAGCAUAUUCCAUGAAAUCAAGAAAGGAGAUGGCCCAUUACCCAUUACAAGGAUAUCAUUUCCUGCCUACUCGACUUGCUCAAAAAUCUCUGGAGGAGGUGGGGAGGGAUAGCCUGGGGAGAAAUGCCAAAUGUGGGUGAAGGGGAGAAGAAAAGCAAAGCACACUGCCAUGUGUGUACCUACGCAACUGUCUUGCAUGCUCUGCUCAUGUACCCCAAAACCUAAAAUCCAAUAAAAAAUUAAAAAAAAAAAAAAAAGGCCGGGCGCGGUGGCUCAAGCCUGUAAUCCCAGCACUUUGGGAGGCCGAGGCGGGUGGAUCACAAGGUCAACAGAUCGAGACCAUCCUGGUCAACAUGGUGAAACCCCGUCUCUACUAAAAAUUACAAAAAAUUAGCUGGGCAUGGUGGCGCGUGCCUGUAAUCCCAGCUACUCAGGAGGCUGAGGCAGGAGAAUUGCCUGAACCCAGGGGGCGGAGGUUGCGGUGAGCCGAGAUUGCGCCAUUGCACUCCAGCCUGGGUAACAAGAGCGAAACUCCGUCUCAAAAAAAAAAAAAAAAAAAAAAAAAAUCUCUGGAGCUUAUUUCAUAGAUGAGGACUUUUGAGAGAAACUGCAUCUUAUUUGGAAUUAACAUGGUAUUACUAUAUCCAAAGGAGCCCUCCUGGGUUUGAGGAUAAUCAUGACCUAUGCUGCAUUUGUGCAGCAGAAAGUAUCCGUGAGAUACAUGUUUCCACAUGCUGCAUUCAAGUCUCUCUAAGUAGGUAAAAGUAAACUGGAGAACUGAAAUAAUCAUGACAAUUUAGUCAAAAUACUCUACAUUUAUUCUAGGUUUAAGGACUAAGGGUGGGAAAGAUGGGUAUGUGUUUUUAGUAUGUUGCUUUACACUCUUCUAAAAUACUUGAGAUACUUGCAAUGUUUCUUUUCCACUGUUUUAUAAUAGUACUAGACAUAAUUGCAUUAUAUAAAUGCUCUGUUAUUUUAAAAUUAUCGGAGUCCAUUUCUGACUAAAAUAUUUCAUUAUUUCAUUUCUACUUCCUCGCCUCCAGCUUUUUAAUCAGGCUUUUAUUGUCAGAUUUCAUUUUCCUCUUCAGAAAUGGGUGGCAUGGGGAAUCUGAUCAGGAAGGGAAGGUGACCGGGCACAUGGGAGAUGAGAAGGCCAACUCUUUCUCGGUGUCACUUCUAGUGUGGACUCAUGGAGGUUAAUCAGGUGCUCAAUGCAAAGAAAGAAAGAAAUAGGAUCAGCUUCUAUGAACUCACACAGAGCAGGUUGUGAGUGGGCUUUUCCUCUGGGACAAAGGAAAAGCAGCAGAAAGUAUCAGUGAGACACAUGUUUCACGUACUGCAUUCAGGUCUCUCUAAGUAGGUAAAAGCAAACUGAAGAACUGAAAUAAUCACCUUGACAAUGUAGUCAAAA
RNAcentral lists this long non-coding RNA (1749 nucleotides) under Callithrix jacchus (white-tufted-ear marmoset). RNAcentral describes it as "lncRNA (ENSCJAG00000077092.1)". The record is from RNAcentral. Lineage: Eukaryota; Metazoa; Chordata; Mammalia; Primates; Cebidae.